Molecule: ribosomal RNA, 460 nt
Filed under: uncultured bacterium
Lineage: Bacteria
Description: partial 16S ribosomal RNA
Rfam family: Bacterial small subunit ribosomal RNA
Source: RNAcentral
CCUACGGGUGGCAGCAGUGAGGAAUAUUGCACAAUGGACGCGAGCCUGAAGCAGCCAAGCCGCGUGAAGGAUGACUGCCUUAUGGGUUGUAAAUUUUUUUGAUAAAGGAGUAAAACUAUGUACGUGUGCCUUUUUGCAUGUACUUUAUGAACAAGGAUCGGCCAACCCCGUGCCAGCAGCCGCGGUAAUACGGAGGAUCCGAUCGUUAUCCGGAUUGAUUGGGUUUAAGGGGAGCGUAGCUGGGUUGUUAAGUCAGUUGUGAAAGUUUGGGGGUCAACCGUGAAAUUGCAAUUGAUACUGGCAGGCUUGAGUACAGUAGGGGUAGGCGGAAUUCGUGGUGUAGCGGUGAAAUGCUUAGAGAUCACGAAGAACACCGAGUGCGAAGGCAGCUUACUAAACUGUUACUGACAUUGAUGCGCGAAAGUGUGGGUAGCAAACAGGAUUAGAUACCCUUGUAGUC